AGGACAUUUUGGAACCACAUCUACUCCUCCAGUUCAAAAUAUGGCAGUCGAUAUAAAAUAUAUUUUGGUUUCCUUGUCAAUCACAUUAAUCAUAGUUUUUUUUUUUCACUGGUGGUUGUUAUUGUAAAAAGAGAAACAAGUCAAAGCAAGAAAAACAACACGCGAAAAGCAUAAAGAAAUAUCAUACUACGAAAAGCUGUAAAUAACGAUAUCAGAGAUGAUAAAAAUAACGGUAAUAAUGAUAACAAAAAUGAAGAAAUACUGCUCGUAAAGAGAAAGGAGCCUGAUCUUGCGCAUAUAAAGGCGUGCUAAUGACAUUGGACAAGUCAUUUGCAUUGCCAAUCGCGUACCCAGAGCCUGCACUUCUUCUGACCAGCGACGAAGAACGAGGGCUCUGGCAUAAUCCAUUUUUUGAGACCAGGAUAUAUUGGUCUCCCGGUAUAAGAGCGCAUACGUUUAAAGACUCGCAAAAAAAAAUCCCUAUUUGUAAUUUUUAUUUUCAUCGGAAAUAAACACAGAACUCUGUCUCAAAUCAUGAUUUUACUUGAUUAUAGUUCUCUUCCGGGAAAAUGCGCAUGCGUCAUGCGUUAUG
This is a long non-coding RNA of Actinia tenebrosa (Australian red waratah sea anemone), 592 nucleotides long. The record is from RefSeq and is a predicted model, not a curated record. Lineage: Eukaryota; Metazoa; Cnidaria; Anthozoa; Actiniaria; Actiniidae.